UUUUCGGCUCUCUAAA
Molecule: small RNA, 16 nt
Filed under: Arabidopsis thaliana (thale cress)
Lineage: Eukaryota; Viridiplantae; Streptophyta; Magnoliopsida; Brassicales; Brassicaceae
Description: ATSL048160
Source: RNAcentral